AUGGAGAAAAAACAGAGGGCAAAACGGAAAACCAAAGCGUGGAGAGAAGGAGUCCCAACACAGUUCCAAACGGCACCAAUGGCCACACGCCUCUCCUCCCGCCUCCUCAUCCAUUUACCGGCGCCCGCCGCCGCCGUCACCACAACUUCUCCCCGGCUACGGAAGCCCGCCGCAGCACGCACCGCGUCCUACCGGAGGCGCAGGCCACGCCUCGCCGUCUCGGCAGGGGCGGCGCCGAGCGGCGGCGCGGUCGCCCCGGCGGCACCGGCCGGAGAGAACAGGGACGCCGGGCUGACGCCGGCCGAGGCGCAGCGGCUGGUGGAGUUCCUGAAGGCCGACCUGCCGCACCUGUUCGACAACGUGGGCAUCGACCGCUCCGCGUACGACGACCGCGUCCGCUUCCGCGACCCCAUCACCCGCUACGACGACAUCGACGGCUACCUCGCCAACAUCAGCCUCCUCAAGGUCAUCUUCCGCCCCGACUUCUACCUGCACGACGCCAAGCAGACAGGGCCGUAUGAGAUUACCACGAGGUGGACCAUGGUCAUGAAGUUCUCUCUCCUGCCGUGGAAGCCGGAGCUGGUCUUCACCGGGUUGUCGAUCAUGGGCGUCAACCCACAGAAUCUCAAGUUCUGCAGCCAUGUGGAUAUUUGGGAUUCAAUACAGAACAAUGAAUACUUCUCCUUGGAAGGAUUGGUUGAAGUUUUCAAGCAGCUACGAUACUACAAGACCCCAGAUAUAGAAACACCAAGCUACCUCGUUCUGAAAAAGACUGCAAAUUAUGAGGUCAGGAAGUAUCCACCAUUUUCAGUAGCUGAAGCAAAAGGAGAAAAACUAACAGGAUCAUCAGGUUUUAACAAUGUUACUGGGUAUAUAUUUGGCAAGAAUGCUUCAUCUGAAAAGAUUGCAAUGACUACACCUGUCUUCACUCAGGCUUCUGAUGACAAACUCUCAGACGUAUCCAUACAGAUAGCUCUGCCAAUGAACAAAGACUUGAACAGUUUACCAGCUCCAAAUACAGAAGCGGUUACCUUGCGAAAGGUUGAAGGAGGCAUUGCUGCAGUGAAAAAAUUCAGUGGGCGACCAGAAGAGGAAAUUGUGGCCAAGAAAGAGAAGGAGCUACGCUCCCAGCUACUCAAAGAUGGGUUGAAGCCUCGAAAAGGCUGUUUGCUUGCACGUUACAAUGAUCCUAGCACAAAGGACUUUAUGAAGAGGAACGAGGUGCUUAUAUGGCUAAACGAUUUCGCACUGGAGUAG
RNAcentral lists this ribosomal RNA (1257 nucleotides) under Triticum aestivum (bread wheat). RNAcentral's name for it is "partial small subunit ribosomal RNA". Lineage: Eukaryota; Viridiplantae; Streptophyta; Magnoliopsida; Poales; Poaceae. The record is from RNAcentral.